UGGGAAGUAUUGCACAAUGGGCGCAAGCCUGAUGCAGCCAUGCCGCGUGUGUGAAGAAGGCCUUCGGGUUGUAAAGCACUUUCAGCGAGGAGGAAGGUGGUGAGCUUAAUACGCUCAUCAAUUGACGUUACUCGCAGAAGAAGCACCGGCUAACUCCGUGCCAGCAGCCGCGGUAAUACGGAGGGUGCAAGCGUUAAUCGGAAUUACUGGGCGUAAAGCGCACGCAGGCGGUUUGUUAAGUCAGAUGUGAAAUCCCGGCCU
This 261-nucleotide ribosomal RNA is filed under the name uncultured Serratia sp. Its description in RNAcentral is "partial 16S ribosomal RNA". It matches the Rfam family "Bacterial small subunit ribosomal RNA", at positions 355 to 608 of the family's 1533-position model. The record is from RNAcentral. Lineage: Bacteria; Pseudomonadati; Pseudomonadota; Gammaproteobacteria; Enterobacterales; Yersiniaceae.